CUAAGAAUAUUCCGCAAUGGACGAAAGUCUGACGGAGCGACGCCGCGUGGAUGAAGAAGGCCGAAAGGUUGUAAAGUUCUUUUGUUGGGGAAGAAUAACCAUGGGAGGGAAUGCCCGUGGGAUGACAUGAACCGACGAAUAAGCCCCGGCUAACUACGUUCCAGCAGCCGCGGUAACACGUAGGGGGCGAGCGUUGUUCUGAAUUACUGGGCGUAAAGGGCAUGUAGGCGGUCUUGUAAGCUUGGCGUGAAAGACCACGGCUCAACCGUGGGAUUGCGUUGAGAACUGCGAGGCUUGAGUGACGGAGAGGGAGCUAGAAUUCCUGGUGUAGGGGUGGAAUCUGUAGAGAUCAGGAAGAAUACCAAUGGCGAAGGCAAGCUCCUGGCCGAUGACUGACGCUGAGGGGCGAAAGUGUGGGGAUCAAACAG
This 428-nucleotide ribosomal RNA is filed under the name uncultured bacterium. RNAcentral's name for it is "bacterial SSU rRNA". It matches the Rfam family "Bacterial small subunit ribosomal RNA", at positions 355 to 775 of the family's 1533-position model. The record is from RNAcentral.